AUGAAUAAUGAAGGUUUUCUUUACAUGUGAUGAUAAUAAUGGAGUUAUGAUAAUGAAGUGAUGGAUAAUGAAGUUUUUUUCUUUACAGAUGAGGAUGAUGUUGAAGUUUAUGUAUUCAUGCUCUGUAGUUAUUUAAGUAUUUGUUGCAGUUCGUUUUGACAGUAUGUGUUAUAUCGUAUGGUAUAAUGACUGAAGGUUUUGGAAAGGACAGCUAGGGAACACAUUUUAUACACAUUUCACUACCUGUUAAUUCGAAGUUCACUACUUUUCAGCAUAAAAUGCGUUUCUUCUUUCAGUCUAAUAAUCCAUUUUUGUAUAUUUUGCAGGAGAAAUUAUUCAUGAAAUUAAUGUACUAUAAGCAGUUGUUCAUUAAACACAUGUCAUUUAUGAAUGUGAUUACAUAUACUCUACUUGUUUCAUAAUCUUGAUACAGCUGACUCAUGACGAAUGACGUUACACAUCUUCAUUUGCAGCAAUAACUCAAAAGCAAAUAUUGUUAUUAAUUAUCGAUCCCAACGCAAUGCAUUGCUAGCACAAAAAAAUGCUUUGCAACUGGCAAAUGAAUGCCACUGAUUAAUGCAAUAAGAUGAACUAUGAGGUCAAUGUUUACUAUAAUUAGAUUAAUUAUGCCAUUUAUUAACUCAUUUUCAAUGAUGACUUCUGAUGGUUUGUAAUUAGGCAAUGAAUACCAAUGUGCUCUGUAAAUGACUUCUGAUGGUUUGUAAUUAGUCAAUGAGUGCCAAUGUUCUCUGUGUAUGAUUUCUGAUGGUAAUUAGGCAAUGAGUGCCAAUGUUCUCUGUAAAUGACUUCUGAUGGUUUGUAAUUAGUCAAUGAGUGCCAAUGUUCUCUGUAAAUGAUUUCUGAUGGUUUGUAAUUAGGCAAUGAGCGCCAAUGUUCUGUGUAAAUGACUUCUGAUGGUUUGUAAUUAGGCAAUGAGUGCCAAUGUUCUCUGUAAAUGACUUCUGAUGGUUUGUAAUUAGUCAAUGAGUGCCAAUGUUCUCUGUAAAUGACUUCUGAUGGUUUGUAAUUAGGCAAUGAAUGCCAAUGUUCUCUGUAAAUGAUUUCUGAUGGUAAUUAGGCAAUGAGUGCCAAUGUUCUCUGUAAAUGACUUCUGAUGGUUUGUAAUUAGGCAAUGAGUGCCAAUGUUCUCUGUAAAUGACUUCUAAUGGUUUGUAAUUAGGCAAUGAGUGCCAAUGUUCUCUGUAAAGUUACUCAUGAACAUUAUUCUGUAAUACUACAUACAUGGUAGAGAAAUGUUCAAUGACUGAGCAAUGAGUGCCACCCAUUACUAGUGUAAUUCUCAAUGAAGGCUAGUAUGUGACUUAAUGUCCUUCACAUUCUAACCUAAUUACCUGGAAUUACUGCAAUAUCCGUUUGUCCUGUAUAUCCUCAUGAUCAUGGAGCACUAUAUUUGGUUUUUGCACUAAUUCUACGUUGCUGUAACAGACAAGAACAUGGUGUUGACACGACAUGCUGUCCACCACAAUGAGCGAUGAGAUGCUGUUAUGGUCCCACUGUUUGGUGUACCUAAUGUACUACCAAAAGGAUAACAUGGAAUAUUACUACGGCAUUUCAGUGUCUUGGCUACGCUGAUUAAUACUUCAGGGAAAAGAACUUCAGAUUGCCUCACUUGGUGUUGUGCUUCUGUAGAAAGAUAUGGACUUUCAGUGCAGCUGCGUGCAACCUAAAGUGCUACAACCAUUACGCAAUCCUUCCCUUUCCUAUCCUAAUUCUUGUAACAUAUUAAAAAUAAUUUUGUUAUCAUGAUUUGUAUUCAUGGCCUAUACAUUUUGUGAUUUGCUGAUAUGUUCUGAACUACAGUGCAUGUGCACUUUUGUCAUUUUGUUAACGUUUUUUCUACUCAUUGCAUAUACAUUUUUUGUGAUUUGCUGAUAUGUUCUGUACUACUGUGCGUGUGCACUUUUGCCAUUUGUGAAUAUGUUUUGUACUCAUUGUAUAUAUUUUGUCUUUGCCUGAUAUGUUCUGUACUCAGUGCAUGUGCGCUAUAUUUACUUCAUGUUCUACACCUAUAUAUAUCUGUAUAUAUUCUGUAAUUGUAAAGUUAAUUAGUUAAGAAAAAAUUUGUUGCUCAUGGCAAGUCCAAAUGACUCACCAUCGCUGCCAAAUUUUUGCCCCCCCAGUGGAGGGUUAUGAAACGCGUACGUUUCAUAUGUAUUCAUUACCAGCGAUGGCGAGGCAUGACAGAAUCUCUGACCAGAGAGUUAUUUAUCGUGGCUAGUCUGCGCUUGACCGCGCGAGACGACAGUGCUAGUAGCGUGUAGUGAGUCGGCAGGAACGGUAGGACGUAGCGAGUCGGCAUGCGUCCGCGGUGUGCUCUGCCCACGAGUCUGGUCAGGAAUGUGGUGGACGAUAUGUAUAUUAUUGUAGAAGUCUCCAACCACAGAAGAAGAGAUAGUGAGAGGUGCAGCGACAAGCAGUAGCAGAGCAUUACGUGGGUGGACCCUCGCUGAAAUUGCUGGAGAGGCCUGUCAUGCUUGCAAAGCUACAACUGGAGCAAGAUCUGGAGGUGUUCCAUACGUCACAAUAGCCACAACAGUCUGCAGCACAACAUGACACAGAGGUGUUCCGCAGAACACAGCAGCUGCAGCAGUAGUUGUGUUUAGCAGUCUGGAGGGAUAUUGUUUUUUAUUUACAACAAGCUCCAGUACAUUAUUUGUAAUACUACAUGUAUGUAUUUUGUGUGUGUGUGUGUGUGUGUGUGUGUGUGUGUUGGAUGAUGAUGUGUGAUGGUGAUGAGAGGAGCGAGAGGGUGAAACACGGUGCCAGUACAUAGCCUAGUCGUCGUGAAGAGCACCAAGGGAACCACCCAGCAUAACGUCCCCAUUCGACAGAAGGAUUGCCAUCAACAGUGUCACAUACCCUCAGUUCUUACGACACUGCAGGGAUUUGGUAUUUAAACAAGGACAACUACGCAAAGCUUGGUGAUCAGGAACUUUACGCCACCAUCUUUCCUAUCCCUGCCGGCCAAAUACUGGCAGUGAAAACUUUUUUCCAACCACCAGGAUUCGAGCUGGUUUACCCCCAGGUCGCGCGCGACCUCGACCAUGGAGGCGGAUGGUGGAAUAUUGAUCUCCAUAGAGGAGGUGGUUGUACAGCUGUCACUAUGUUAAUAAAUGUGUCUUAAUUUUUUUUAUUUUCAACCCAAUUAAUUAAUAACAACACACAUACCUGUAGUUGGGAUGCCAACAGUUGAACUGUCUCUAAGUGUGGAAGGGUCUUCCUGAUGAUGGUAGUACAACAGGUUAAAAUGUAGGGUGAUAUAACAAUAAUAACAAAAACUUUGGAUGUCGCGCCAAGGCGUUAUCGAGCAGGAGCCGUGUGUGUGAAUGUGUAGCCUGGAUUUUUCAUUCUGAGGCACUGGAGCUCUUGCUGGGCGCUGGACAGUAAUUUGGUACGAUAUAUAGUACUCAGCAUGUUUCAUGCUUCCAUAUAAUAGAAGCGGCUGCGAUGUGAAGCACAAAAUCAACACGCUGCUUCACAGCACACAUGCACAAGUUGUCUAGAAUACUUUCCUGUCUUUUUUAUUUUAUUUAUUUAAAAAGACCUUGAAAUAUGUAACAGCAAUGUAAUUGCAUAGUUCCCUAUAAAAAUGUUUAGAAAUUCAUGCAUAUAACAGACAUCUUUUGUGAUGUAUAAAUGGGUAAUUAGCUCCAUAGUAUCUACAAUACGCCAUUGUCGUGAAUUAAUGACCGUAUUCGAAAAUGCUUCAGUGGUCUUGUAAUAUACGUAAGUUUACAACGGGUAUGAUCACUCUGCAUUAAGUACCGAAGGCCUUAUUCAUUUUGAUGAUAAUGAACUGGCAGUCAAUGUAUUCGUAUUUUUUUAAGUCGCUAAUAGUGAUAGAUAAAUAGUUCACCCACUUGUGAGAGAACCGUCAAAGGGUAAACAUGUUGAGACGUGCACCAACACUCAAGCCAAGAGGUACUGACGGCGAUGAAUAAGAGUGUAGAAGAAAAAACAAAUAUGCUUAACUAACAGUUCUUUUCAUUUUUUCCUUGCGGGCUAGUUGAGGUCAUUGCAGCAAUAGCUAGCUGACGUGGAAAUAAUGCUGUUCGAACUAACCUACUAUUUUAACACCAGUCGCAGUAAGUGGGUCAGUGUCGGUAUGACACUGAAUUGGGUUCAA
Schistocerca serialis cubense is the source of this 4147-nucleotide long non-coding RNA. RefSeq lists it as uncharacterized. NCBI's taxonomy places the organism in Eukaryota, Metazoa, Arthropoda, Insecta, Orthoptera, Acrididae. The record is from RefSeq and is a predicted model, not a curated record. The transcript has 3 exons.